UGGGGAAUAUUGCACAAUGGGCGAAAGCCUGAUGCAGCGACGCCGCGUGAGUGAGGAAGUAUUUCGGUAUGUAAAGCUCUAUCAGCAGGGAAGAAAGAAAAGACGGUACCUGAGUAAGAAGCUCCGGCUAAAUACGUGCCAGCAGCCGCGGUAAUACGUAUGGAGCAAGCGUUAUCCGGAUUUACUGGGUGUAAAGGGAGCGUAGGCGGCAGAGCAAGUCUGAUGUGAAAGCCCGGGGCUCAACCCCGGUAGUGCAUUGGAAACUGUUCAGCUCGAGUGUCGGAGGGGUAAGCGGAAUUCCUGGUGUAGCGGUGAAAUGCGUAGAUAUCAGGAAGAACACCGGAGGCGAAGGCGGCUUACUGGACGAUCACUGACGCUGAGGCUCGAAAGCGUGGGGAGCGAACAGG
This 407-nucleotide ribosomal RNA is filed under the name uncultured Shuttleworthella sp. RNAcentral describes it as "bacterial SSU rRNA". It matches the Rfam family "Bacterial small subunit ribosomal RNA", at positions 355 to 776 of the family's 1533-position model. Lineage: Bacteria; Bacillati; Bacillota; Clostridia; Lachnospirales; Lachnospiraceae. The record is from RNAcentral.